Long non-coding RNA from Eriocheir sinensis (Chinese mitten crab), 704 nucleotides. RefSeq lists it as uncharacterized. The transcript has 3 exons. The record is from RefSeq and is a predicted model, not a curated record. NCBI's taxonomy places the organism in Eukaryota, Metazoa, Arthropoda, Malacostraca, Decapoda, Varunidae.
CGGAGAGAGAGACGCAGUGAAGCGGGUCGUGGUGGUGGAGAGUUGAGACAGAGGAGGAAGAAAGAGACAAAAAACAAGCAAAAAAAAAAGAAAGACAGAAGAGUGAACGAAAAUAAGCCUAUGUAAAAAAAAUCGGUAGAAAAAAGGAAUAAAAAAAGACUGACAGAAAAAGAAAUGAAAAGAAGGAACAAAAAGAGAGAAUAAAAAAUAAGUAUGUCUAGAUUAUGAGAGUAAGAUAAAGACAAGAGAGUAAAGAGAGAAAAUAUUGCUCGUAAAAGUAUUGUAGGAAGAAGAUAAAAGGAGGAGGAAGAUAAUACAGUGACGCAUGACAUAUAUUCAAGACAAACAUAGCGAGGAACCCUCGUCACACACCUCUGAGACAACCAAGAGUGGCGCUGUGACGUGGACAGGUGAGGCGUGACGUGAUGGGGACACCUGCCGAGCCCCUUGAGUUGACAGGACGUGAGGAGGUGAGGUGGAGGUGGGCGAAGUGAGCGUCUGCCAGAGGAGGUGGAGGAGGAGCUGGAGGAGGAGGAGGCGUGAGGUGAGAAGGAGCAGAGACGAUAUAGCUGGAAGUGCCGCAUGACGAGAAGGAGAACACAGAGGAGGCAGAGAAGAGAUAAAGAGAAGAGGACCCAGUGCCACGUGUACAUUGCCUCCACAGCCGCCGCCACUGCUCUUCAAAGGUCAUCAUGUGUACCAAC